RNAcentral lists this ribosomal RNA (465 nucleotides) under uncultured bacterium. RNAcentral describes it as "partial 16S ribosomal RNA". It matches the Rfam family "Bacterial small subunit ribosomal RNA", at positions 28 to 507 of the family's 1533-position model. The record is from RNAcentral.
GACGAACGCUGGCGGCGUGCUUAACACAUGCAAGUCGAACGGUGAACUCCGCUUGCGGGGGGAUCAGUGGCGAACGGGUGAGUAACACGUGGGCAACCUGCCCUCAGCUCUGGGAUAACUCCAAGAAAUUGGGGCUAAUACCGGAUAUGACCGCUGACCGCAUGGUCUGGUGGUGGAAAGAUUUAUCGGCUGGGGAUGGACCCGCGGCCUAUCAGCUUGUUGGUGGGGUAGUGGCCUACCAAGGCGACGACGGGUAGCCGGCCUGAGAGGGUGAGCGGCCACACUGGGACUGAGACACGGCCCAGACUCCUACGGGAGGCAGCAGUGGGGAAUAUUGCGCAAUGGGCGAAAGCCUGACGCAGCGACGCCGCGUGGGGGAUGACGGCCUUCGGGUUGUAAACCUCUUUCAGCAGGGACGAAGCGAAAGUGACGGUACCUGCAGAAGAAGCACCGGCCAACUACGUG